CUUUCUAAUCCUUCCCCCUCGGCCAAUUCCGGACAGGAACCCUUUUUAGAUUCUUCCACGUGGAAGCGUAGGACUAAUUUCGUCCACACCAUCCGGAAUGGCCAACAUGGCGGCCGCCAUAAGAUGCCUCGGUAGAGUCUUGAUACAUCAUCAUCAGCAUAGUCUUUUCAAGAUGGCUUAUCAGACACAUCUUUAUCCUUGUUCUGUAUGUGUUCAGGGGCCCAGCAGACAUUUUGCUGCUGCUACAAAGCCUGCAAAGAAAACGAAAAAAAGUAUGAAAGGCAAAGCAUCAGAUGAGAAAAAAGAUGAGAUUGAAAAAAUAAAGUCAUACUCCUUUAUGGAAGGCGAACCUGAGGAUGAUGUCUACUUAAAGCGCUUGUAUCCAAGGCAGAUAUAUGAGGUGGAGAAAGCUAUUCAGUUACUUAAGAAAUUUCAAAUUCUAGACUUUACUAAUCCAAAACAAGGUGUUUAUCUUGAUUUGACACUGGAUAUGGCACUGGAGAAGAAGAAAAAAGUGGAGCCGUUUGCCAGUGUUCUUCGUUUUCCAUACCCAUUCGUUUCAGAAAUCAAUAAAGUUGCUGUAUUUACAGGGAAUGCAUCCGAGAUUAAAAUAGCAGAAGAACAUGGAGCUGCGUUUGCCGGAGGAAUUAAUCUGAUUCAGAAGAUUUUGGAUGAUGAAAUUCAAUCAGACUUUUAUGUAGCUGUUCCAGAAAUAAUGCCCGAGCUUAAUCCAUUAAAGAAAAAGCUGAAAAAAAGAUUUCCAAAACUAACUCGAAAUUCCAUUGGCCGUGACAUCCCCAAAAUGCUUGAGUUAUUUAAAAUGGGACAUGAAAUUAAGGUAGAUGAAGAAAGGGGGAACUUUCUCGAGACCAAAAUAGCAACAGCCCCCAGACUUGUCCUGCAUGAAAUUGCAGGUGAACCCAACCUUCUGUAUCUGCAGGCCGACUUCCCCAUGGACCACCCACCCCCUGACACCGUGGGCCUCCUGAGGCGAUUCUGCUGUCUCCGUCUUCCCACCCUGGCUGCAGUUGGACCCAGAGGCACACAGCGUCUGGGGCCGAAGUUGUCAUGAGUACAGGAGCCGCUCCCUCCAGGGGAGCAUCAGACCCAACCUCCGGGGGGUACAGCCACUUCAGGAGGCUGGAUAUGCCAAGUGACCAGAUAGAAGCAAAUCUUCAAGCAGUUAUCAGUGAAGUCUGUAAGCACAGACCAGUCAAUUUGG
Molecule: RNA transcript, 1222 nt
Organism: Lutra lutra (Eurasian river otter)
Lineage: Eukaryota; Metazoa; Chordata; Mammalia; Carnivora; Mustelidae
Gene: MRPL1
Gene name: mitochondrial ribosomal protein L1
Exons: 9
Source: RefSeq, a predicted model, not a curated record